This 172-nucleotide ribosomal RNA is filed under the name uncultured rumen bacterium. Its description in RNAcentral is "partial 16S ribosomal RNA". It matches the Rfam family "Bacterial small subunit ribosomal RNA", at positions 340 to 524 of the family's 1533-position model. The record is from RNAcentral.
UACGGGAGGCAGCAGUGGGGAAUAUUGGACAAUGGGCGAAAGCCUGAUCCAGCAACGCCGCGUGAGGGAUGACGGCCUUCGGGUUGUAAACCUCUUUCAGCAGGGACGAAGCGAGAGUGACGGUACCUGCAGAAGAAGGACCGGCCAACUACGUGCCAGCAGCCGCGGUAAU